ACGCUGGCGGCAGGCCUAACACAUGCAAGUCGAGCGGUAGAGAGAAGCUUGCUUCUCUCGAGAGCGGCGGACGGGUGAGUAAUGCCUAGGAAUCUGCCUGGUAGUGGGGGAUAACGUUCGGAAACGGACGCUAAUACCGCAUACGUCCUACGGGAGAAAGCAGGGGACCUUCGGGCCUUGCGCUAUCAGAUGAGCCUAGGUCGGAUUAGCUAGUUGGUGGGGUAAUGGCUCACCAAGGCGACGAUCCGUAACUGGUCUGAGAGGAUGAUCAGUCACACUGGAACUGAGACACGGUCCAGACUCCUACGGGAGGCAGCAGUGGGGAAUAUUGGACAAUGGGCGAAAGCCUGAUCCAGCCAUGCCGCGUGUGUGAAGAAGGUCUUCGGAUUGUAAAGCACUUUAAGUUGGGAGGAAGGGCAGUUGCUUAAUACGUAACUGUUUUGACGUUACCGACAGAAUAAGCACCGGCUAACUCUGUGCCAGCAGCCGCGGUAAUACAGAGGGUGCAAGCGUUAAUCGGAAUUACUGGGCGUAAAGCGCGCGUAGGUGGUUUGUUAAGUUGGAUGU
This 567-nucleotide ribosomal RNA is filed under the name uncultured bacterium. RNAcentral's name for it is "bacterial SSU rRNA". It matches the Rfam family "Bacterial small subunit ribosomal RNA", at positions 33 to 595 of the family's 1533-position model. The record is from RNAcentral.